UCGGGUUGUAAAGCACUUUUGUCCGGAAAGAAAACUUCGGCCCUAAUACGGCGGGAGGAUGACGGUACCGGAAGAAUAAGCACCGGCUAACUACGUGCCAGCAGCGCGGUAAUCGUAGGGUGCGAGCGUUAAUCGGAAUUACUGGGCGUAAAGCGUGCGCAGGCGGUUCGUUAAGACAGAUGUGAAAUCCCCGGGCUUAACCUGGGAACUGCAUUUGUGACUGGCGAGCUAGAGUAUGGCAGAGGGGGGUAGAAUUCCACGUGUAGCAGUGAAAUGCGUAGAGAUGUGGAGGAAUACCGAUGGCGAAGGCAGCCCCCUGGGCCAAUACUGACGCUCAUGCACGAAAGCGUGGGGAGCAAACAGGAUUAGAUACCCUGGUAGUCCACGCCCUAAACGAUGUCAACUAGUUGUUGGGGAUUCAUUUCCUUAGUAACGUAGCUAACGCGUGAAGUUGACCGCCUGGGGAGUACGGUCGCAAGAUUAAAACUCAAAGGAAUUGACGGGGACCCGCACAAGCGGUGGAUGAUGUGGAUUAAUUCGAUGCAACGCGAAAAACCUUACCUACCCUUGACAUGGUCGGAACCCUGCUG
This 590-nucleotide ribosomal RNA is filed under the name uncultured Burkholderia sp. RNAcentral describes it as "bacterial SSU rRNA". It matches the Rfam family "Bacterial small subunit ribosomal RNA", at positions 418 to 1003 of the family's 1533-position model. The record is from RNAcentral. Lineage: Bacteria; Pseudomonadati; Pseudomonadota; Betaproteobacteria; Burkholderiales; Burkholderiaceae.